ACGUAGGUCACAAGCGUUGUCCGGAAUUACUGGGUGUAAAGGGAGCGCAGGCGGGAAGACAAGUUGGAAGUGAAAUCCAUGGGCUCAACCCAUGAACUGCUUUCAAAACUGUUUUUCUUGAGUAGUGCAGAGGUAGACGGAAUUCCCGGUGUAGCGGUGGAAUGCGUAGAUAUCGGGAGGAACACCAGUGGCGAAGGCGGCCUACUGGGCACCAACUGACGCUGAGGCUCGAAAGUGUGGGUAGCAAACAG
RNAcentral lists this ribosomal RNA (251 nucleotides) under uncultured bacterium. RNAcentral's name for it is "partial 16S ribosomal RNA". It matches the Rfam family "Bacterial small subunit ribosomal RNA", at positions 525 to 775 of the family's 1533-position model. The record is from RNAcentral.